Molecule: long non-coding RNA, 467 nt
Filed under: Homo sapiens (human)
Lineage: Eukaryota; Metazoa; Chordata; Mammalia; Primates; Hominidae
Description: non-protein coding lnc-WFDC3-1:8
Source: RNAcentral
GCUGUGACCCUCUGGGCCUCCAGGAAGCCUGGCCUGGAAAAGGGUAGAGGGCGGGGCGGUGAUUGUCCAAAAGUUCUGGUGGGCCUGUGCAUUGUUGGCUGUGUGAUGGAUGAGAAUUGUCAAGCUGGAGAAAAAUGUUGCAAGUCAGGCUGUGGCCGCUUCUGUGUCCCACCAGUCCUGCCCCCAAAACUGACCAUGAACCCCAACUGGACUGUGAGGUCUGAUUCCGAAUUAGAGAUCCCGGUGCCCUAGCUGUGCUGAUUUGUCUGGAGCUUCUUUGGUAAUUCUGGAAGCUUUUCCUGGCAGUCAAGAGAGGGUGACAUCCUGGGGCUUGUGACAUUUCCAGGGGCACUCAUGGCCCUCUCUGCUCUGCUUCUCCUCCUGCCGCUGACCAGAGCAUGGGAAAUAGCCCUGGAUUGGGUAGUGGGUGUGUGGUGCUUCUCUUUCCCGAUAAAGGCUGGUGCUGA